GUUCUUUUAGUAUUAACCAGUACGACUGACUUCCAAUCAGUUAGUUCCGGCCUACCCCGGAAAGGAAUA
This 69-nucleotide transfer RNA is filed under the name Lonchorhina aurita (Common sword-nosed bat). Its description in RNAcentral is "tRNA-Gly". Lineage: Eukaryota; Metazoa; Chordata; Mammalia; Chiroptera; Phyllostomidae. The record is from RNAcentral.